RNAcentral lists this ribosomal RNA (497 nucleotides) under uncultured bacterium. RNAcentral's name for it is "partial 16S ribosomal RNA". It matches the Rfam family "Bacterial small subunit ribosomal RNA", at positions 28 to 507 of the family's 1533-position model. The record is from RNAcentral.
GAUGAACGCUGGCGGCGUGCCUAAUACAUGCAAGUCGAGCGAACGGACGAGAAGCUUGCUUCUCUGAUGUUAGCGGCGGACGGGAGAGUAACACGUGGAUAACCUACCUAUAAGACUGGGAUAACUUCGGGAAACCGGAGCUAAUACCGGAUAAUAUUUUGAACCGCAUGGUUCAAAAGUGAAAGACGGUCUUGCUGUCACUUAUAGAUGGAUCCGCGCUGCAUUAGCUAGUUGGUAAGGUAACGGCUUACCAAGGCAACGAUGCAUAGCCGACCUGAGAGGGGGAUCGGCCACACGGGAACUGAGACACGGUCCAGACUCCUACGGGAGGCAGCAGUAGGGAAUCUUCCGCAAUGGGCGAAAGCCUGACGGAGCAACGCCGCGUGAGUGAUGAAGGUCUUCGGAUCGUAAAAAUCUGUUAUUAGGGAAGAACAUAUGUGUAAGUAACUGUGCACAUCUUGACGGUACCUAAUCAGAAAGCCACGGCUAACUACGUG